Molecule: ribosomal RNA, 460 nt
Filed under: uncultured bacterium
Lineage: Bacteria
Description: partial 16S ribosomal RNA
Rfam family: Bacterial small subunit ribosomal RNA
Source: RNAcentral
CCUACGGGUGGCAGCAGUGAGGAAUAUUGGUCAAUGGGCGGGAGCCUGAACCAGCCAAGCCGCGUGAGGGAAGAAGGUACAGCGUAUCGUAAACCUCUUUUGUCAGGGAACAAAGGCGGGGACUAGUCCCCGGAUGAUGGUACCUGAAGAAACAGCAUCGGCUAACUCCGUGCCAGCAGCCGCGGUAAUACGGAGGAUGCGAGCGUUAUCCGGAUUUAUUGGGUGUAAAGGGUGCGUAGGCGGCCUUGCAAGUCAGAAGUGAAAUCCAUGGGCUUAACCCGUGAACUGCUUUUGAAACGGGAGGGCUUGAGUGAAGUAGAGGCAGGCGGAAUUCCCGGUGUAGCGGUGAAAUGCGUAGAGAUCGGGAGGAACACCAGUGGCGAAGGCGGCCUGCUGGGCUUUAACUGACGCUGAAGCACGAAAGCGUGGGUAGCAAACAGGAUUAGAUACCCUUGUAGUC